RNAcentral lists this microRNA precursor (208 nucleotides) under Hordeum vulgare subsp. vulgare (domesticated barley). Its description in RNAcentral is "MIR159 microRNA precursor family". It matches the Rfam family "MIR159 microRNA precursor family". Lineage: Eukaryota; Viridiplantae; Streptophyta; Magnoliopsida; Poales; Poaceae. The record is from Rfam by way of RNAcentral.
GGAUUAGACGUGGAGCUCCUAUCAUUUCAAUGAAGGGUCUACCGGAAGGGUUUGUGCGGCUGCUUGUUCAUGGUUCCCACUAAUCUUAUUCUCCAUUAGAGACGGAUCUACCGAAAGGAGAUAGGCUUGUGGUUUGCAUGACUGAGGAGCCACAUCAAUCUCUUGCUGACCGCUGUUUGGAUUGAAAGGAGCUCUGCAUCUUAAUCUA